Molecule: long non-coding RNA, 12702 nt
Filed under: Capsicum annuum
Lineage: Eukaryota; Viridiplantae; Streptophyta; Magnoliopsida; Solanales; Solanaceae
Description: long non-coding RNA (CANN_LNC003850)
Source: RNAcentral
AAGAACUGAGAAUCAGUCAGCUACAUUCAGUCGUUGCAUGGCUAUGAAUAAAUUUCAAAUAUUUGGCUUCGCGAUUGCGAUAAAUUAAUCUUACGGUGAGUUUUUUUUUCCUGCUUAUAUGUAAUUCAAUGAAUUGGGAGGAUACAUUUCUACAUUGGAAAUCACUAAACAUAUUCCAGUUUUGAAAUUCAAUUGAAUCUUACACUUAAUUUUCCUAGUUGACAGUUUUAGUUUGUAUGCAUUCCAUUGGAAAUCAUUGUUAGGGAUCAUGUUCAUCAGUUCAUGUGCUGUGUACAACGAUGUAGGAGUUUAUUGAGAUCACUCUCGUGUUUUAGCUGGAUUUUUGUUUAAGUUCUGAUAUGUACAAUAAUGAUCUGCUACAGAAGUAUUUAGAGUUAAAUGGUCACAAAUACACCUAAAUUAUCCCUUUUUUCGAUUUUCAUAUUUGAACUAUCCGAGUUUCCUACAUUAACUAUCACCUACUAUUUAUCAAAACACACCUCAAAUAUCAAUUAUUCACUUUUCCUACCUAAAAUAUCAUUUAUUUAGGAAAAAUGAACUAUUGAUAGUUGAUGUGCAUUUUGAUAAGUAGUUGGUGAUAGGACAGUUAAUAGGAAAUAGUGGAGUAAUCGGUAAAGUUGCUGCCAUGUGACCAGAAGGUCACGGGUUCAAGCCUUGGAAACAGCCUCUGGCAUAAAUGCAAGGUAAGGCUGCGUACAAUACACCCUUGUGGUGGGGCCCUUCCCCGGACACCGCACAUAGCGGUAGCUUUAGUGCACCGGGUUGCCCUUUUGAAGGGGAGCCUUGGAGUAACUGGUAAAGUUGCUGCCGUGUGACCAGGAGGUCACUAGUUUAAGCCUUGGAAACAGCCUCUUGCAGAAAUGCAAGGUAAGGGGGCGUACAAUACACCCUUGUGGUGGGGCCCUUCCCCGGACACCGCACAUAGCGGUAGCUUUAGUGCACCGGGCUGCCCUUUUAUAUACCUAGUUCAAGUAUGAAACUCAACAAAUAAGUAUACUUUAGGAGUAUUUUUGAUCCUUCACUCUAAUAUUUAAUUAUUCAUGCAAUAUAAAACCUUGCUGACAUCAUUAGAAACCAUAUGCAAGCUCUGAACUUCAUUGUUUCUAGUAGAAAGUGCACGUGGAUAGAGCAGAAUGGUUACAAUGAAUCCAUGCGUACUGUGACUAAUUUGGGAUUGAGGCUGCAGAGGUGGAUCUAAAAUUUAAAGUUGAUUGGUUCGACCUUCAAGAUUUUUAAUAAUGAACUCAUUCUGCUAUUGAAAUUACUGAUUCAGAUUUAAUAUUCGUUUAAAAUUUAGUGUUUUUUCACGUGUUAGAAACACUGGGUUUGGUUAAAAAGAUACUGCAUCUUUUGACAGAAAUAUUGCGUAAGGUUGAACCGGCAGGCCACUAUUGACGCAUAGUUCAUUGUAUAGUGGAAACAAAACAUUGUCUUUUAAAUUAGUAGUUAGUAGUUACUUUGAGGAAAUUAAUAAUUAAAACAUCUAGUAUAUCUCUUGCUAAUGAUAGUGCCUACUUGGAAGUUGUCUUGCUAGGAGAAACUAUUUCCAAGUCUUCCUUCUCAAAGUUAGCAGUCGAUCAUGGAAAAUAGAUAUUCUUUCGGUAGGGACAUACUAAUAUUACUAAAGGGGUCCUUAGUAUGUGAUGGACCUGGUUCGGUUGAGUGUUUGGGUUUUGAUGCUAUGGAGUUGUCGCUGAGAAGUUGCUUCUAUGUAUCCACUAAUUAUAGAAUUCCUAAUACAAUAAGAUUACACAUUCUGGACAAACUCUUCCAAUUUAUGAAAAACUUGAAUAGCUAAAAACUUUUCACUUUGUUUUUCUUGAGUACUUUACAACUUUGUAUAACGUGCUGUCUUGGUCGUUUUAUCCUCCUUACUUUGGUGAUGAUGGCUUGGUCUUAGAGGACUUACCAGUGAUAGCUUUCGUCACCUUUGCAAUUGAGUGCUUGACUUUUGAUCCAACGCCUGACAAUAUGUUCUGAUGUUUCUUGUGUUGAACUUUAAUAUCAGCAUCUCGUGAGAUUUCUACAAUCACUGUAUCUUCAGAACUUGACCGUUCUCUUGUCUGUUGAAUUCCUUCCUCUUCUCUAUCAUUGUCUUCUCUUUCUUCAGCAAAGUUUUCCUCCAUUUUUGAUGUCUCUUUAACUGGUACAUGCAUAAGGUCAGAAACCUUAGCUUGCGUCUCUCUUGAUCUCGAUUCCUCUGGUGCUUCUUUUGAAUUACAUUCCAAUUCUUUCUCGUUUUUGUAAUUUUCUUGACUUUUGGCCUCUGCACCCAGUUGCACAUAUGGGGUAAUGCUGUCUUUGGGCGUACCAUUGACGCCAGUGCUGCUUGUUGGAACAGUUUCCUCCCUCUCUAAUGUAAGUAGAGGAUAUGCUGCUUGAUCUUGUAGCUGCUUAGUUGCAUUGCUUUCACUGCUCACCAUGUUAUCCAUUGCUAUCUCCUUUUCCGGAACCUUAACAGAUGUCAAUGAUGUCAAAUGUUCUGUUAUUUCUUCUUGCUCAUUCCUUGUUUUUUCCUCUUGUUCACCUCCUACUUGGGUAAUUGGAGCAUUUUCAGUCUUUAAUUCUUCUUUCUGUGUUUCUUUUGUUUCAUCGCAUGUUAUCAUCUCUCCGAAACCUGCUGCUGUUUUUCUUUCUGAUCCAAAAGGUUCCAAACUUCCUCUUUCAGGUUCACUUGUUGUUGUUCCCUGCUCUUGCUGUACCUGUGUUGUGCUGUUGUUUGAGGAAUCUUGGCCGGUGCUCUCUCUUAAGUCUUCUUCUUGUUCCUCCUAUGAGUUCAUAUCUUACCGUCAGAAAUCUUGAUUGAAUUGUUGCGCGAGUAAAUAGGGGAGACAGAGGGGUGUAUGAAAAGAUUGGAAUAAUGUAUUUUGCUUCUAUUUUUUUAGCUUUUUUCCUCACUGUUUAUAGUCUAGAUCCAGUUUUAUAAUUCAGAAUUAUGAUUUCUUGUAGCAGAUUGCAAAUCGGCAUUUAUGUUAUACUCUGCCUGUGUAUAUGAAAUGUUUCAUGCAGUUGACCAUGCAUAAUGUUUUCACGGCAACAUCUUUUCAAUCCCCUCUUUGCACGAGAAUACAAAAACUGAAAAUAAUAUAUAGUCAUCUAGAGAUUUGUGACCUUAACUAACUUGGAGUUGUGGCUUAGAUGUUGUCAUCGUUGUUGUUCUGAAAUAUUGUGCAGCAGGAGAACCAAAUUUCUAGGUUCAUAAACAUGCAAUAAACUCAUAGAUUCUCAGUAGAUGCUAAUCAGCUAACGUUGUAAGUUCUUGUUCAUUUACCUUGUUAGUAUUGUCCUCCACCCUCAUUUCUUCUGAAGAAAGUUCAAUUGCGUUCUCCACUCCACGCACGUCUUUAACCUCUUCUGUGGUUAGGUUGGCUUUUUGAAGGUUCUGCAGAAUAAAAAAAGAGCGAUACAGUGAUUUAGAAGAAAGAGAAAGCAUUUCUAUUUUAGCUUGGGGUUAGAUAUAUGAAUUGGAAACAGCCUUGUGUGGUCGCUUAACCUCUUGAUUGGGGGUUUCUGAAACCACUUUGCAUUCUUUAGAGUUAUUUGUCACCAUCUCUUCUUUGGCGGAUGUUAGAAGCUCGUCUAAGCUCCUUUCUUCUUUUUGUAGGACAUUCUUAUUUGUCCCAUCAUCAGCAUUGAUAUCUUUAAGUUCUUUUAUCUGUUUGGAUUGAUAGGUUUUGUUAUGACUAGUUUAGGCACAUGAAAGAAUAUCAAAAUAUUGGUAGAAGGAAGCCACUUAAUACCUCAAUUUCAACUUCUUUGCAAGGUCUCAUUGUUUCUUUGACUAACAGUUCUGCCUGUUUUCCAAUUAAAGCUUCUUCUUUCUCUGUUAAUUGUGUUUCAGAUUCAUCAAUUCUUUCAAUGACAGCUUCUUCCCUGUUUUGUUCUUUGAGUUCUUCUCCAAGUGGGUGUUCUUUAGGUUUCUCGUCAAUCAUUGGUUCUUCAAGUUUCUCUUUAACAACUAGUUCUUCAGAUUUCUCUUCAACUGGUAGAUUCUCGGGUUCUUCUUCAACUGCUGGUUCUUCAAAUUUUUCAGCUGCCGAUUCGUCAGGCUUUUCUUCAACUGAUGGUUCUUCAUGUUUUUCAUCGAAUGUUGGUUCUUCAACUGUAGAUUCUUCAGAUUUCUCCUCAACUGUUGGUUCCUCAGGUUUUUGGUCAACUACUGGUUCUUGAGGUUUAUCUUCAAUUGCUGGUUCUUCAGGUUUCUUUUCUAGUUCUUCACGUGUCUCUUUAACCACUGGAUCUUCAGGUGUUUCUUUCACCUCUUGUUUUUUGUGUUUCUCCUCAAUUGCUGGUUCUUGGGGUUUCUCUUCAAAUGUUUCUGCAAUUGCCAAUUUCUGAGGUUUCUCCUUUAUUGCUGGUUCUUCAGGUUUAUCCUCAACAAUUGGUUCUUCAAGCUUUUCCUCAACCAUUGGUUCUUCAAUUUUUUCCUCAACCAUUGGUUCUUCAGGUUUUUCCUCAACUCCUGGUUCUUCAGGUUUUUUCUCAACUGCUGGAUAGUCAACAACAUCAUUGUUGGUAUUGCAUGGAGUCUGAGUGUCAGACUUCCCGUUUGAAUCUAUAACUGACAUAUUCUGUAAGAAAAAUUUGAAGUUUCACUUAGUCUUCCAAUAGAUAAACAGAUGUGAAUUGUUGCACAUUCAGAGCUAAUAGUACAGGUAAAACUUGUGAGUACUUGAUCCUCACCUCUUCCAACAAAGUUACCUUUUCAGGCUUCGCUUCAACUUCAACUGCUAGUUUUUCAAGGUUCUUUUCAAUUGCUAGAUCUUUAGUUGUUUCUUCAACUGCUGGUUCUUCAGGUUUCUCUUCAAAUGUUAGUUCUUCAAGUGUUUCUUUCCAUGCUGGUCCUGCAAGUGUUUUUUCAACUACAAGCUCUUCAGAUUUCUCUUCAACUGUUGGUUCUUCAAGUUUCUCCUUGAAAACUGGUUCUUCAGUUUGUUUUUCCACUUCUGGUUCUUCAAGUUUCUCUUCAAUCACUUGUUUUUCAUGUUUUUCUUCAACUUCCAGUUCUUCAGCUGUUGGACAGUCAGCAACACCAUUGUUGGAAUUGCCUGGAAUUUCACUGUCAAUCUUGUCCUUUGAGUCUAUAAUUGACAUAUUCUGCAAGAAAAGUUUAAAAUUAGAUUUAAUAUUCAAUAGAUUGACAUAUGUGAGUGUGUUACACAUAUAAAGCUAUUAGAAUGGAUAAACUGUGACACUGUUUAAUCCUCACCUUCUCUAGGAGAGCUUCCGUUUCUAGUUUCUGCUCUUCAAUUACUGGGUUGUCGUGUUUCUCUUUAACAACUAGCUCUUCAAAGGUCUUUUCAACCAUUGGUUCUUCAGGUUUCUCUUCAAGUGCUAGCUCUCCAAGUGUUUCCUCCCCUGCUAGCUCUUCAUGUGUUUCUUUAGCUGUUGGUUCUUCAAGUUUUUCUUCAACAGUUGGUUCUUGAGGUUUCUCCUCAGCUGGUUUUUCAUAUUUCUCCUUAAUUGCUAGUGUAUCAAGUUUCUCUUCAAUAACUGGUCCUUCAGGUUUUUCUACAACUGCUGGUUCUUCAGGGUCUUUCUCAACUUCUUGAAAGUGAGCAUCAUCAUCGUUAGUAUUGCAUGGAAUUUCACAGUCAGUUUUGUCCUUUGAGUCCGCAACUAGCAAAUUCUGCAAGAAGAAUUAAAAGUUUCACUUAGUCUUUUAGUAGAUAAAGCAGAUGUGAAUCAUUGCACAUACAUAAAUAAUAGGAUGGAUAAACUUAUGACAGUGCUUGACCCUCGCCUUAUCCAAAAGAGUUACCUUUUCAAGUUUCUCCUCUUCAACUGUUGGGUUUUCAGGUUUCUCCUCUUCAACUACUGGUUUGUCAGUUUUUUCUUCAAAUGCUAGUUCAUUAGGUGUUUCUUCCCGUUUUGAUUCCUUGAGUGUUUCUUCAGUUUUUGGUUUUUCAGGUUUCUCUUCAACCAUUGGUUCUUCAAGUUUCUCCUCCACAGUUGUUUUUUCAUGUUUCUCUUCAACUGCCAGAUCUUCAAGUUCUCUCUCAACUGUUGGUUCUUCAGGCUUCUCCAUAACCGCCAAUACUUCAGGCUUCUCUUCAAUUGUUGUUUCUUCAUGUUCUUUUUCAACUACUGGUUCUUGAGAUUUUUCCUUGACUGAUUCAUAGUCAGCAAUAUCAUUGGUGGUAUUGCAUGACAUUACAUAAUCUAUCUUGUCCUUUGAGUCUACAAUUGGAAAAUGCUGCAAGAAAAUUUAAAAGUUUUACUUAGUCUUUCAACAGAUAAACAUAUGUAAAUCCGUUGCACAUAUAAAGCUAAUAUGAUGGAUAAAUUUUGUGACAAUGUUUAAUUCUGACCUUCUCUAGAAGAGCUCCGGUUUCAGGUUUCUCCACUUCAACAACUAGUUCUUUAGGUGUCUUUUCAACCGUUGCUUCUUCAGGUUUCUCUUCAAGUGCUAGUUCUUCAGCUGUUUCCUCCCCCUCUAACUCUUCAGGUGUUUUUUUAGCUGUUCGUUCUUCAGAUUUCUCUUCAGCCGCAGGUUCUUGAGGUUUCUCUUCAAAUGGUAAUUCAAAUUUCUCCUCAACCGAUGGUUCUUCAAAUUUCUCUUGAAUAACUGGUUCUUCAGGUUUUUCUUCAACUGCUGAUUCUUCAAGAUUUUCUUCAACAUUUAAAGAUUGAGCAACAUCAUUACUGGUAUUGCAUGGAAUUUCACUGCCAUUUUUGCUGUUCAAGUCUACAACUAGCAUAUUCUGCAAAAGAGUUUAAUGUUUCACUUAGUCUUUCAAUAAAGAAGCAGACGUGAAUCAUUUCACAUACAUAACUAAUAAUAUGGAUAGCUAAUAAUAUGGAUUAACUUUUAUGACAGAUUUUCCACAAGAGCUACCUUUUCAGGUUUCUCCUCUUCAAGUGAUGGUUUCUCUUCAAAUGAUAGUUCAUUAGGCGUUUCUUCCUGUGUUGGUUUUUCAUGUGCUUCUUCAGUUACUGGUUUUUCAGGUUUCUCCUUAGUUGUUGGUUCUUCGCUUGUCUCCUCAGCUGAUUGUUCUUCAAGCUUCUCUCCUGUUGUUGAUUUUUCUGGUUUCUCUUCAAUUAUCGGUGGUUCAGGUUUUUUCUCAACCGGUGAUUCUUCUGGUUUCUCCAAAACCAUUGAUUCUUCAUGUUUUUUUUCAACUACUGACUCUUCAGUGUUUUCCUCAACUGAUGCAUAGUCAGCAAUAUCGUUGUUGGUAUUGCUUGGAAUUGCAUUGUCUAUCUUGUCCUUUGAGUUUACUUUUGGCAUAUUCUGCAAUGAAGUUUCACGUAGUCUUUCAAUAGAUAAACAAAUGUAAAUUUGUUGCACAUAUAAAAGCUAAUAUGAUGGAUAAAAUUUGUGCCAGUGUUUAAUCCUCACCUUCUCCUGAAGAGCUUCCGCUUCAAGUUCCUCCUCUUCAAUUGCAGGUUUUUCAUCUUUCUCUCCAACAACUAGUUCUUCAGGUUUCUCUUCAAGUGCCAGUUCUUCAGGUGUUUCCUCCUUUGCCAGCUCUUCAGGUGUUUCCUCCUUUGCCAGCUCUUCAGGUGUUUCUUUAGCUGCCGGUUCUUCAGGUUUCUCUUCAACCUCCGGUUCUUGUGGUAUUUCCUCUACUUGUACUUCAGAUUUCUCCUCAAUUGUUGGUUCUUCAGGUUUCUCUCUAACCGCUGCUGCAUUAGGUUUCUCUUCAUUGGCUGGUUCUUCAGGUUUUUCUUCAACUACCGAUUCUUCAGGAUUUUCCUCAAUGUUUGGAAAGGGAGCGACAUCAUUAUUGGUAUUGCAUGGAAUUUCACUGCCAGUUUUGUCAUUCAAGUCCACAACUAGUAUAUUCUGCAAAAGAGUUUAAUGUUUCACUUAGUCUUUCAAUAAAGAAGCAGAUGCGAAUCAUUACAUAUACAUAACUAAUAACAUGGAUAAACUUUAUGACAGUAGUUGACCCUUACCUUUUCCACAAGAGUUACUUUUGCAGGUUUCUCCUCUUCAAGUGCUGGUUUCUCUUCAAAUGAUAGUUCAUUAGGUGUUUCUUCCCGUGUUGGUUCUUCAUGUGCUUCUUCAGUUACUGGUUUUUCAGGUUUCUCCUCAAUUGUUGGUUCUUCGCUUGUCUUCUCAACUGAUGGUUCCUCAUGCUUCUCUCCCGUUGUUGAUUUUUCGGGUUUCUCUUCAGUUGUCGAUGGUUCAGUUUUUUUCUCAACCGCUGGUUCUUUUGGCUUCUCCAAAACCAUUUCCGAUUUCUCUUCAGUUGGUGGUUCUUCAUGGUUUUUUUCAACUACUGGUUCUUCUCUUUUUUCCUCAACUGAUGCAUAGUCAGCAAUAUCGUUGUUGGUAUUGCUUGGAAUUGCAUUGUCUGUCUUGUCCUUUGAGCUUACAAUUGGCAUAUUCUGCUAGAAAAAUAUAAAGUUUCAUGUAGUCUUUCAACAGAGAAACCAAUGUAAAUUUGUUGCACAUAUAAAGCUAACAAAUAUGAUGGAUAGACUUUGCGAGAGUGUUUAAUACUCACCUUCUCCGGAAGAGCUUCCGUUUCAGGUUCCUCUUCAAUUUCUGCUUUUUCAUCUUUCUCUUCAACAACUAGUUCUUCAGGUGUCUCUUCAACCGUUGAUUCUUCAGGUUUCUCUUCAAGUGUUAGUUCUUGAGGUGUUUCCUCCUUUGCUAGCUCUUCAGGUGUUUCUGUAACUGCCGGUUCUUCAGGUUCCUCUUCAGCCACCGGCUGUUGACGUAUCUCCUCUACUUGUACUUCAGAUUUCUCCUCAAUUGUUGGUUCUUCAGGUUUCUCCUUAACCGCUGGUACAUCAGGUUUAUCCUCAUUGACUGGUUCUUCAACUGCUGAUUCUUCUAGAUUUUCCUCAAUGUCUGGAAAGCGAGCAACAUCAUUAUUGGUAUUGCAUGGAAUUUCAUUUCCAGUUUCGUUAUUCGAGUCUACAAUUAGCAUAUUCUGCAAAAAGAAUUUAAUGUUUCAUUUAGCCUUUCAAUAAAGAAGCAUAUGCGAAUAACAGUACAUGCAUAACUAACAAAAUGGAUAAACUUUGUGAUAGUGCUUGAUCCUUACCUUUGCCAAAAGAGUUACCUUUUCAGGUUUCUCCUCUUCAACGGUUGGUUCUUCAUGUUUCUUUUCAAAUGCUAGUUCCUUGGUUGUUUCUUCCGGUGUUGGUUCCAUAGGUGUUUCUUCAGUUACUUGUUUUUCGGGUUUCUCUUCAAUUAUUGGUUCUUCGAUUGUCUUCUCAACUGAUGGUUCUUCAAGAUUUUCUCCCACUGUUGGUUUUUGGGGUUUCUCUUCUAUUGUUGGUUGUUCAGGAAUUUUCUCAACUGGUGGUUCUGCUGGAUAUUCCAAAACCAUUGAUUCUUCAGAUUUCUCUUCAAUUGAUGGUUCUUCAUGGGUUUUUUCAACUACUGGUUCUUCAAUUUUUUCCUCAACAGAUGCAUAGUCAACAAUAUCAUUAUUGGUAUUGCUUGGAAUUGCAUCGUCUGUCAUGUCCUUUGAGUUUACUUUUGGCAUAUUCUGCAAUAGAGUUUCAUGUAAUCUUUCAACAGAUAAACAGAUGUAAAUUUGUUGCACAUAUAAAGCUAAUAUGGUGGAUAAACUUUGUGACAGUGUUUAAUCCUCACCUUCUCCUGAAGAUCUUCCGCUUCAAGUUCCUCCUCUACAAUUGCAGUUUUUUCCUCUUCCCCUUCAACAACUAGUUCUUCAGGUGCCUCUUCAGCCGUUGAUUCUUCAGGUUUCUCUUCAAGUGCUAGUUCUUCAGGUGUUUCCUCCUUUGCCAGCUCUUCAGGUGUUUCUUUAGAUGCCGAUUCUUCAGGUUUCUCUUCAGCCAUCGGUUCUUGAGGUAUUUCCUCUACUUGUACUUCAUAUUUCUCCUCAAUUGUUUGUUCUUCAGGUUUCUCUUCAGGUUUCUCCUUAACCACUGGUACAUCAGGUUUCUCUUGAUUAACUGGUUCUUUGGGUUUUUCUUCAACAGCCGAAUCUUCAGGAUUUUCCUCAAUGUCUUGAAAGCAAGCAAUAUCUUUAGUGGUAUUGCAUGGAAUUUCACUGCCAGUUUUGUUGUUCGAGUCUACAAUUAGCAUAUUCUGCAAAAGGAAUUUGAUGUUUCAUUUAGCCUUUUAAUAAAGAAGCAGAUGUGAAUAACAUUACAUGCAUAACUUACAAAAUGGAUAAAUUUUGUGACAGUCCUUGACCCUUACCUUUUCAGGUUUCUCCUCUUCAACAGCUGAUUCUUCAUGUUUCUCUUCAAAUGCUAGUUCUCUGGGUGUUUCUUCCCGUAGUGCUUCUUCAUGUGCUUCUUCAGUUACUGGUUUUUCAGGUUUCUCCUCAAUUGUUGGUUCUUUGAUUGUCUCCUCAACAGAUGGUUCUUCAAGCUUCUCUCCCGUUGUUGAUUUUUCUGGUUUCUCUUCAAUUGCUGGUUGUUCAGGAAUUUUCUCAACAGCUGGUUCUUCUGGCUUCUCUAAAACCAUUGAUUCUUCAGCUUUCUCUUCAAUUGAUGGUUCUUCAUGGUUUUUUUCAACUAUUGGUUCUUCAGUUUUUUCCUCAACGGAUGCAUAGUCAACAAUAUCAUUGUUGGUAUUGCUUGGAAUUGCAUCGUCUGUCAUGUCCUUUGAGUUUACUUUUGGCAUAUUCUACAAUAAAGUUUCAUGUAGUCUUUCAAUAGAUAAACAGAUGUAAAUUUGUUGCAACAUAUAAAGCUAAUAUGGUGGAUAAACUUUGUGACAGUGUUUAAUCCUCACCUUCUCCCGAAGAUCUUCCGCUUUAAGUUCCUCCUCUUCAAUUGCUGUUUUUUCAUCUUUCGUUUCAACAACUAGUUCUUCAGGUGCCUCUUCAGCCGUUGAUUCUUCAGGUUUUUCUUCAAGUGCCAGCUCUUCAGGUGUUUCCUCCUUUGCCAUCUCUUCAGGUGUUUCCUCCUUUGCCAGCUCUUCAGGUGUUUCUUUAGCUGCUGGUUCUUCAGGUUUCUCUUCAGCCGCCAGUUCUUGAGGUAUCUCCUUUUCUACUUCAGAUUUCUCCUCAACUGUUGGUUCUUCAGGUUUCUCUUCAUUAACUGGUUCUUUGGGUUUUUCUUCAACAGCCGAAUCUUCAGGAUUUUCCUCAAUGUCUGGAAAGUGAGCAACAUCUUUAUUGGUAUUGCAUGCAAUUUCACUGUCAGUUUUGUCGUUCAAGUCUACAAUUAGCAUAUUCUGCAAAAAGAAUUUGAUGUUUCAUUUAGCCUAUUAAUAAAGAAGCAGAUGUGAAUAACAUUACAUGCAUAACUUACAAAAUGGAUAAACUUUGUGAUGGUCCUUGACCCUUACCUUUCCAGGCUUCUCCUCUUCAACGGCCAGUUCUUGUUUCUCUUCAAAUGCUAGUUCCCUGGGUGUUUCUUCCUGUAUUGGUUCUUCAUGUGCUUCUUCAGGUACUGGUUUUUCAGGUUUCUCCUCAAUUGUUGGUUCUUCGAUUGUCUCCUCAACAGAUGGUUCUUCAAGGUUCUCUCCCGUUGUUGAGUCUUCUGGUUUCUCUUCAAUUGCUGGUUGUUCAGAAAUUUUCUCAACAGCUGGUUCUUCUGGCUUCUCCAAAACCAUUGAUUCUUCAGCUUUCUCUUCAAUUAAAGGUUCUUCAUGGUUUUUUUCAACUACUGUUUCUUCAGUUUUUUCCUCAACGGAUGCAUAGUCAACAACAUCAUUGUUGGUAUUGCUUGGAAUUGCAUCGUCUGUCAUGUCCUUUGAGCUUACUUUUGGCAUAUUCUGCAAUAAAGUUUCAUGUAGUCUUUCAAUAGAUAAACAGAUGUAAAUUUGUUGCACAUAUAAAGCCAAUAUGGUGGAUACACUUUGUGACAGUGUUUAAUCCUCACCUUCUCCUGAAGAUCUUCCGCUUCAAGUUCUUCCUCUUCAAUUGCUGUUUUUUCAUCUCUCUCUUCAACAACUUGUUCUUCAGGUGCCUCUUCAGCCGUUGAUUCUUCAGGUUUCUCUUCAAGCACUAGUUCUUCAGGUGUUUCCUCCUUUGCCAGCUCUUCAGGUGUUUCUUUAGCUGCCAGUUCUUCAGGUUUCUCUUCAGCUGCCGAUUCUUGAGGUAUUUCCUUUACCUGUACUUUAGAUUUCUCCUCAAAUGUUGGUUCUUCAGGUUUCUCCUUAACCGCAGGUACAUCAGGUUUCUCUUCAGCUGCUGGUUUUUGAGGUUUCUCCUCUACUUGUACCUCGGAUUUCUCCUCAACCAUCGGUUCUUCAGGUUUCUCCUCAACCUCUGGUACGUCAGGUUUCUCUUCAUUAACAAGUUCUUCACUUUUUUCUUCAAUAGUUGAUUCUUCAGGAUUUUCCUUAGUGUCUGGAGAGUAAGCAACAUCAUUAUUGGUAUUGCAUGGAAUUUCACUGCCAGUUGUGUCGUUCGACUCUACCAUUGGCAUAUUCUGCAGAAAGAAUUUAAUGUUUCACUUUGCCUUUCAAUAAAGAAGCCGAUGUAAAUCAGAGGACAUACAUAACUAAAAAAGAUGGAUUAACUUUGUGAUAGUGUUUGACUCUUACCUUUUCGAAAAGAGUUAUCUUUUCAGGUUUCUCCUCUUCAACUGUUGGUUCUUCAUGUUUCUCUUCAAAUGCUAGUUCCUCAGGUGUUUCUUCCUGUAUUGGUUCCUCAGGUGUUUCUUCUUCUGUUACUUGCUUUUCAGGUUUCUCCUCAAUUGUUGGUUCUUUGAUUGUCUCCCCAAUCGAUGGUUCUUCAAGCUUUCCCCCCCCUGUUGGUUUUUCAGGUUUCUCUUCAAUUUUCGGUUGUUCAG